UAUCUGGUUGAUCCUGCCAGUAGUCAUAUGCUUGUCACAAAGAUUAAGCCAUGCAUGUCUGAGUACCUGCCGACCUUAGGCGAAACCGCGAAUGGCUCAUUAAAUCAGUCACGAUUUACGGGAUUUUGUGAAAUCCUUACUCGGAUAACUGUGGUAAUUCUAGAGCUAAUACGUGCAACUAGUCUCCGACCCCGACCUUGCCUCGCGCUCGGUCGGGGGAAGGGCGCAUUUGUUAGAACCAAAAACCGGGUGGACAGUCGGGUUGCGGCAAUCUGCUGCUGCUGUUCGCUGACUGCCUUUCUCAGUUUCUAACUGUGGGGCAGCCUCAGCAGCAGCAGCACAGCAUUCGUCCUCCUCGUCCAUUCCUCUUCGGUUAUGUGGUGACUCCGGAUAUUUCUACAGCCGAGCGCUGAGGCCUUUGUGCCGGCGCCGGAUCCCACGAGUGUCUGCCUUAUCAGCUUUCGAUUGUAGGUUAUUCGCCUACAAUGGCUGUAACGGGUAACGGGGAAUCAGGGUUCGAUUCCGGAGAGGGAGCCUGAGAAACGGCUACCACAUCUAAGGAAGGCAGCAGGCACGCAAAUUACCCAAUCCCGGCAAGGGGAGGUAGUGACGCGAAAUAACGAUGCGGGACUCUUCCGAGGCCUCGCAAUCGGAAUGAGUUCGAUGUAAAGAAAUGGACGAGGAUCCAUUGGAGGGCAAGUCUGGUGCCAGCAGCCGCGGUAAUUCCAGCUCCAAUAGCGUAUAUUAAAGUUGUUGCGGUUAAAAAGCUCGUAGUUGGAUUUCUGAUGCGGACCGGAAGCCCACCCAAGGCGCGCUACUCGUCUACGGGGAGCUGCGUCCCGAAGUGGUUCUUCCCGUGUCCCUCGGCAAAGGGCCGUUUGGUGUACGCUUCUUCGGUUUGUGGCAAGGGUGCCGAGUUUUUAGAGGCGCAGUCCAACAACCUCUUUCCCGGCUUCAGGGGUCGUCGUACGCGUCUCUCGCAGGCGGCGUCGACGCGUUGGUGUUUUCUGUGUCGCUGUUGAGCAAGCCGGGUUUAGCGAGGGUCGAGCACGUAGAGAUAUCCUUCGGCUUUCCCCUGAGCGAAUCCCGUUGGCGCUGUUAGCUCGUAGCGUGGCAUUAUUUCGAGAGCGGUGUUUCUCUUAUCCUUCCCUGGAUAGAGUUUCGGGUUUGCAUCCGCUGCAACGGAACAGGCGUUCGCCUCUCCCCCGUAAACCCUCUCAUUCGUCCGUUGUCUCGCUCGUCCUCCCGAGUUCUUCUUGAGCGCUUCCGUACAACCAAACCGAUUCGCUUACGCCGUCUUCUUUUAGUAGACGGGUCGGCUUCUCGGGCGGAGUGUGUUCGAGCUGCUCGGGUGCGACACCAAACGCAAAAGUAGCGAUGACAGCGGCGGGUGAUGGUUCGGGUGGACGCGACUCGCGCUGCUGUUUGUAGAGUUGGUUCUCCCGGCUCUAAAAGGGGAUCGGUUCGCAGAUCCCGCGAUACAAACUCGUGUAUUUGUCCCGCUGCAAGCGCACGUCAAUGAUACGGGUGCCACUCGAAUGAAAGGGGUUUGCAAAUUAACGUAGGUUCUUCUACCGGCCUCACCGCACCGUGCUUGUGGCGAUUACAGGGCACUACGCGCUCUUCGUCGUUUCUUCGGAGGCGCCUCUGCGGCGGUUUCGCCCCGGGCUGUUCGGGUAAAUGCUGCUGUUGCUGUCCUCUAUUUUUCGGUUUUUGCCCCUGCGCCUCAAUUCCGUUACAACGCGUAUUUCCUCUCGGUUUCCCGCGUCGUAGGGAACGAUGAAAAACGGGAAGGUUUAAGGCCUUCGGAUGUAUGUCGCAUUUGCUCUUUCGUGGCGGGUCAGCGUACCCGGUGGAUCCCUGCCGUGAUCUGCCGCUGUUUAGAACAGUCGUCGGUUUCUCGCGGGGUGCUCUUCACCGAGUGUCCCGCGUGGCCGACAAGUUCACUUUGAAAAAAUUAGAGUGCUCAGAGCGGGCUAAAAUAUUUACGUCCGAAUGGUAGCGCAUGGAAUGAUGGAACAGGACCUCGGUCCCGCCUUUUUCAGCCCGGUUUUUCGGAACCGAGGUAAUGAUUAAAGGGGACAGACGGGGGCAUUAGUAUUGCGGGGCGAGAGGUGAAAUUCUUGGACCCUCGCAAGACUACCUACUGCGAAAGCAUUUGCCAAGAAUGUUUUCAUUAAUCAAGAACGAAAGUUAGAGGAUCGAAGGCGAUCAGAUACCGCCCUAGUUCUAACUAUAAACUAUGCCAACUAGCGAUCCGUCGGCGUCAUUCCCACGACUCGACGGGAAGCCCCAGGGAAACCAAAGUUUUUGGGUUCCGGGGGUAGUAUGGUUGCAAAGCUGAAACUUAAAGGAAUUGACGGAAGGGCACCACCAGGAGUGGAGUGCGGCUUAAUUUGACUCAACACGGGGAAACUCACCAGGCCCGGACACUGGAAGGAUUGACAGAUUGAGAGCUCUUUCUUGAUCGGUGGUUGGUGGGUGCAUGGGCCGUUCUUAGUUGGUGAAGCGAUUUGUCUGGUUGAUUCCGAUAACGAACGAGACUCUACCCUGCUAACUAGUCGGCGGAUCGACUCCCGAGAUGGGGUUUCCGACCGCGGGGUUUUGCGGGCGGGGGUCACCCAGGGGCCGUCGUAGCUCCGAGGGGGCGGUGUCUAAGGCCGCUGCCGCUGCUGCUUUCCGCCAUGGGUAAGUGCGAAGGCUGAUGAUGAUAAGGAUGGGAGUUACGUGCCGCGCGAACAGCCUCCCUCGUGGGGUUGCCGCGCGUAUCGUAGCUUACCUUCCGUCCGCUCUCAGUCUUUGCCUACUGCCUUUUCGGUGUGGGAGUAGUAGUGCGCGCGGUACAUUCUCGCUUUUCGGGGUCGAAGUUGCGGCGGUUUCCUAGGUCCCCGUCCUGCCUCGUUCGUCGGGCCUCAGCGAGGGGCGUCCGUCGUAAUAUCUUCUUAGAGGGAUCGGCGGCGUCUAGCCGCAAGAGAAAGAGCAAUAACAGGUCUGUGAUGCCCUUUAGAUGUCCUGGGCAGCCACGCGCGCUACAAUGUAGGGAUCAACGUGCUUUCCCCCUCCGAAAGGAGCGGGUAACCCGUUGAAACCCCUACUCGAUUGGGAUUGGGGAUUGUAAGUGUUUCCCAUGAACGAGGAAUUCCCAGUAAGCGCAAGUCAUCGCUUGCGCUGAUUACGUCCCUGCCCUUUGUACACACCGCCCGUCGCUACUACCGAUUGAAUGAUUCAGUGAGGGCAUCGGACUGGCGCCUCCGGUAGCCGUCGUUUCGUACACCAAACUCCGCUUCGGCGGGGGCGAUCGGCGGCACCCUAGGCUGACGGAAAGAUGUCCGAACUUGAUUAUUUAGAGGAAGUAAAAGUCGUAACAAGGUUUCCGUAGGUGAACCUGCGGAAGGAUCAUUA
RNAcentral lists this ribosomal RNA (3402 nucleotides) under Trachelipus rathkii. Its description in RNAcentral is "partial 18S small subunit ribosomal RNA". It matches the Rfam family "Eukaryotic small subunit ribosomal RNA". The record is from RNAcentral. Lineage: Eukaryota; Metazoa; Arthropoda; Malacostraca; Isopoda; Trachelipodidae.